Molecule: long non-coding RNA, 1817 nt
Organism: Etheostoma spectabile (orangethroat darter)
Lineage: Eukaryota; Metazoa; Chordata; Actinopteri; Perciformes; Percidae
Exons: 3
Source: RefSeq, a predicted model, not a curated record
CUGCAGUUUUGUGUAACUGACGGGGAGCAAGGAACUCCAGGAGCAAGUCAAAUGGAAAUGUGCUCUCUUCUCUCCCCACUCCAGUCUGUUUGACACUGUGAUUAUGAACAUCUUCUGGACUCACUGUGAUGAUCCCUUUAAAAGACGCCCUACGGCUCCAUCUCUCUCCUCCAGAAGCAAAGACUUAAACUAAGGAUGGCAGAGAGAGAAGGGGAAGUGACAGGCCAUCGCAAAAUAACAUGAGCUGGAACUUGGGCAGCAGCUUCUCCUCAGCAAUAAUACCAGACAUCACUUCUCACCUUUUUACAUUUUUUUUUAAUUUUCAGAUGUUGGCUCACAACAUUUUAAUCUUUUUGUUUUUCUUGCUCGUCGUUGUCUAUAGUCUGAUAAUCUGAUAUCUACUGAGUACAGAUAAAUUUACUUCACAAUAUACAUACACCACCAAGAACCUGUUCAUGAAAACAGUAUCCAAUAUCGAAAUUUUUUUUAUAAACUAUAUUUACAGUGUUUAUGAAAUAGGAAGCAUUCACAUUUCUAUUAGUGAUAAAAUAGCCUCAAGAUACUAUGCUUUGUCCUUACAGUUUAAACACCCACACCGUGCACAGCACCUUGUGGUGUCAUGUCCCCAACUGUUAACUCACCACUAAAGCUGCGUACCUAACUGGUACCUGCCCAGUAACUGAGCUGUAAGCAUUAUCUGUGCACCCCUAAUAUGUAAAUCGCCAUUUGUUUUUUAAAACUGAGAGUAAGGGUCACACGUCAAGUUGUAUAUCUGACAAGUUCUGUUUACUUUUUGUCUUCUGUUUUUUUUAAUGAGGCUUUUUAGCGGUCUUCUGUGGACUCUUACAUUAUUUGUAUUUAAAAGUUAAAGCAAAAAACAAAGACAAAUGAAAAGGUGAUUGUGGAUUUAAGUCUGUUUUUAAGUUGUUCUUUUUCUGCCUUUUGAGAUGUCAGCAGUAUUUUAAUUGAAAUGAACCAAAAUCCCAUUUUAAAAUCAACCUGUGUGUAUAUAUAUACAGUAUAUCGGUUAAUACAGUAGUCAUUAUUUGAAGGUGGUUUUGGCAGCAACUCAAGGGAGGGUCAGACAAGGAAAUGAAUUUUUCUGCUGUAAGCCUCUUCGUCAUAUUUCCACCUCGUCAGCGGCGUGCUCGUUUCUUCAUGUCCUUCACUGACGCACAGUACGCAGGAACUCAGGUGCAAGUGAACGAGACUGAAUGAAUGAAAUGAACUAAGAUUGUAUUUUUCCAGCGGGUUCGAUUGCUCAAGCAGCAAAUGUCCGUAUUUAAAGCUAGAGCUGGCACUUUGUUAGAAGCAGUGCUAUACAGUGAAAUUUAUCUGAAACAAUGUCUACGUCCCAAGAAUGAAUGCCUUUUUUUUUUUUUAACAUCACCCUGUGUGAUUGUUCAGUAACUGAUGGUUCUCUGCUGAAAUGGAACGUGGAGACGCAGCUGUCUGUGAUCCAGAGCGGUAGUUACUACCUGUAUGACCAGGACCAUUGUGCCCAAUAGAUGUUCUUUAAUUGUUCAAACAGAGAAGGGAUCUCAAUAAAGCCAUAUUCAGUGGUGCACAUCAUCAUCAAUAGAAAUGUUCUUCUAAUGGUUGAAUUCAGCUUGUGCCUCCUGUAUCACAUCUUUACUUCCUGGUUGUUACUGUAGCUUAAGAAACUGACUAUAUCCCAGAGAGAAUACACAAUACUGGCAAAAGAUUUUAGUUCAGGAAAUAAAGCAGCAGAAUAGGAGACAAGACUGUUUUAGCUGAGCUGAGUGGAAACACAAACUGCCUGGGAAUACUGAUUUAAUAAAACUAUUUGCAAAAAA